GGGCGAAUAACUCAGCUGGCUAGAGUGCCUGCCUUACACGCAGGAUGUCGGGGGUUCAAGUCCCUCUUCGCCCACCA
This 77-nucleotide transfer RNA is filed under the name Candidatus Aegiribacteria sp. MLS_C. Its description in RNAcentral is "Candidatus Aegiribacteria bacterium MLS_C tRNA-Val". It matches the Rfam family "tRNA". Rfam says of the family: Transfer RNA (tRNA) molecules are approximately 80 nucleotides in length. Their secondary structure includes four short double-helical elements and three loops (D, anti-codon, and T loops). Further hydrogen bonds mediate the characteristic L-shaped molecular structure. tRNAs have two regions of fundamental functional importance: the anti-codon, which is responsible for specific mRNA codon recognition, and the 3' end, to which the tRNAs corresponding amino acid is attached (by aminoacyl-tRNA synthetases). tRNAs cope with the degeneracy of the genetic code in two manners: having more than one tRNA (with a specific anti-codon) for a particular amino acid; and 'wobble' base-pairing, i.e. permitting non-standard base-pairing at the 3rd anti-codon position. The record is from RNAcentral. Lineage: Bacteria; Pseudomonadati.